UACGUAGGGCGCAAGCGUUAUCCGGAAUUAUUGGGCGUAAAGAGCUCGUAGGCGGUUUGUCGCGAUCUGCCGUGAAAGUCCGGGGCUCAACUCCGGAUCUGCGGUGGGUACGGGCAGACUAGAGUGAUGUAGGGGAGACUGGAAUUCCUGGUGUAGCGGUGAAAUGCGCAGAUAUCAGGAGGAACACCGAUGGCGAAGGCAG
Molecule: ribosomal RNA, 202 nt
Filed under: uncultured bacterium
Lineage: Bacteria
Description: partial 16S ribosomal RNA
Rfam family: Bacterial small subunit ribosomal RNA
Source: RNAcentral